CGACUCAUUAGCUUAAUCGAAGGAACGAAAUUUACCAUACUCGGGCUAUAAACUAUAUUCCAGAGAAAGUUUGUAAUAUCUUAACUUUAUACAUAUAAUUUAACGGAUUAAAAUAGAAUAAAAGAAAAAUGAUACUUGUAAUCAUAAGUAGAUAUUUCUACACAAUCUACGUUAACGGAAACGUACAAGCACGAAAAUAUGCACACAGCUAUAGGCCACGUCCUAAUAAGCUUUGCCUGUAGUUUCAGCCGUUGUUUCAGUUAUACGUCCACUUGUCUGGUCCAUUAAACGUCGAUACGAUUGCAAAACGUGGCCGAACAGGAAACCAAGCAGCCAAUAGGAACGAUUAAAUUUUAAUGAGAAAAUUACCGAUAUUAAAAGGAACGCUGGAGCUGUCGCAGGCAUUCGACAUCUAAUAACAAG
Molecule: unclassified non-coding RNA, 423 nt
Filed under: Bombus terrestris (buff-tailed bumblebee)
Lineage: Eukaryota; Metazoa; Arthropoda; Insecta; Hymenoptera; Apidae
Description: misc RNA ENSBTSG00005034722.1
Source: RNAcentral